Molecule: transfer RNA, 65 nt
Filed under: Tomopterna cryptotis
Lineage: Eukaryota; Metazoa; Chordata; Amphibia; Anura; Pyxicephalidae
Description: tRNA-Cys
Source: RNAcentral
AGCCCCGGGGUGUUAUCAUGUGUGGUUGCAAACCUCAAGAGGCAGAGUAGAAUCUGCCGGGGCUU